This 199-nucleotide ribosomal RNA is filed under the name uncultured Anoxybacillus sp. Its description in RNAcentral is "partial 16S ribosomal RNA". It matches the Rfam family "Bacterial small subunit ribosomal RNA", at positions 1183 to 1382 of the family's 1533-position model. Lineage: Bacteria; Bacillati; Bacillota; Bacilli; Caryophanales; Anoxybacillaceae. The record is from RNAcentral.
CGUCAAAUCAUCAUGCCCCUUAUGACCUGGGCUACACACGUGCUACAAUGGGCGGUACAAAGGGUCGCGAACCGCGAGGGGGAGCCAAUCCCAAAAAGCCGCUCUCAGUUCGGAUUGCAGGCUGCAACUCGCCUGCAUGAAGCCGGAAUCGCUAGUAAUCGCGGAUCAGCAUGCCGCGGUGAAUACGUUCCCGGGCCUU